UCCGGUUUGUCACCGGCGGUAUCCUAUGAGUCCCCAACUUAAUGCUGGCAACAUAGGACAGGGGUUGCGCUCGUUGCGGGACUUAACCCAACAUCUCACGCCACGAGCUGACGACAGCCAUGCACCACCUGUGAUGGUGUCCCGAAGGAAAGGUGUGUUUCCACACCGGUCGCCAACAUGUCAAACCCAGGUAAGGUUCUUCGCGUUGCGUCGAAUUAAACCACAUGCUCCGCUGCUUGUGCGGGUCCCCGUCAAUUCCUUUGAGUUUUAGCCUUGCGGCCGUACUCCCCAGGCGGGGCACUUAAUGCGUUAGCGCCGGCACGGGAGGAGUCGACACCUCCCACACAGCGAGUAAUCAACGUUUACAGUGUGGACUAC
RNAcentral lists this unclassified non-coding RNA (378 nucleotides) under uncultured Solirubrobacterales bacterium. Its description in RNAcentral is "contains 16S-23S intergenic spacer region". Lineage: Bacteria; Bacillati; Actinomycetota; Thermoleophilia; Solirubrobacterales. The record is from RNAcentral.